Molecule: long non-coding RNA, 290 nt
Organism: Mizuhopecten yessoensis (Yesso scallop)
Lineage: Eukaryota; Metazoa; Mollusca; Bivalvia; Pectinida; Pectinidae
Exons: 3
Source: RefSeq, a predicted model, not a curated record
UUGGUUUACAGGAGGUGCUAGCCGUGUACCUACAACAGUACCCUGACAGUGCCAUAGCCCUAAAUCUAAAGGCCUGUAAUCACUUCAGGCUCUACAAUGGAAAGGCCGCAGAGGCCGAGUUAAAGAGUCUACAAGAAAUGUCAACGCCAUCAUUUGUGUUCGCGAGAGAUCUCAUCAAACAUAACAUGGUUGUAUUCCGUGGAGGAGAAGGGUCCUUACAAGUACUGCCCCCUCUGAUAGAUGUCAUUCCAGAGGCUCGACUCAACCUGGUUAUCUAUCAUCUGAAACAA